This 121-nucleotide ribosomal RNA is filed under the name uncultured bacterium. RNAcentral describes it as "partial 16S ribosomal RNA". It matches the Rfam family "Bacterial small subunit ribosomal RNA", at positions 1365 to 1482 of the family's 1533-position model. The record is from RNAcentral.
AAUACGUUCCCGGGCCUUGUACACACCGCCCGUCAAGUCACGAAAGUCGGUAACACCCGAAGCCGGUGGCCUAACCCUUAGGGGGAGGAGCCGUCGAAAGGUGGGACUGGCGAUUGGGACU